UGUAACAGCCCGGAAACCGAUACCCCUCUGUAACGGCCCGAACCGCCACCGGCGCUAGGAUCCAGAUCGGCUUAAGGCCGCCGGGACCCGUAGCAAGCCAAACAUACAUACUAUUACCUGGUCAAAUCCCAUACAUGAUUAAAAACUUUAACAUGAAACCUGAAAUCUGAACAUACACCAAGCUUGAUUCGUAAGUUGCAACAUAACUGUGAACAUAAACUUUCCCAUGCUAGAGUCAUCAUCAAAUGCUCUAGCUGGGUCAUCAUUACAUACAUCAAGCCUGGUUCUCAACUCAACAUAAAAACAUUUCAUAAUCAUGCGUCAACAGGGAUUAACCAGUCUAUAGGGCCAAGCACACUCUAAUCCAUAAACAUUAACUCUACUAUCAGCUACAUACAUUAUCUCAAAUUACAUUACAUCAUCUUAUAUUACAUGUCCACUUCUAAAACUACUAAACUGCUACAAAACAUAAACUAUUACAUACAUAACUUAACUUAGCCUUGACUUUACCCUGCUGCCUCUGAACUCUGACUCAACCUGCAACACUGGGGUUAGGGGAAAGGGAUGAGCUAAAAAGCCCAGUGAGUAGAAACAGAGAAAACAGUUCAUUAAUUACAUGCUUUCAUGAAAUGCGUCAUAACACAAGUAAAUCACAUAACUUGUCCGUCUCGGGGCUCAUGCAAUAUUUAUUCCCCACGGACCCUGGUUUCUGAGAGUCUGUCUUUUUGCAUGCAUCUUUCCUCUCAGAGGAUGGACAUGACAUCAAAAAUCCCUCUGUCGGUGCCCGGCUCCCCCAUAGGAGCUCACAAAGGCCUGUAACAUACAUGACAUGGUGUCUGAUCCACAGAGAGCUCACAUGGACUUUCCUACAUGUACUUGUCCGGCUCUCAAAGGACUAAGACAAGACUCGUGACAGAUAUGGGCUAUUGAAGUCGCCUCGGUCCACCCUUCCUCUAUCAACAUCAAAUAAUGCAAUGCGUCAUAUUCGUGAAACUAGUGCAAUCAACCUACUACAUAUAAUCAUGAUGCAUGAACAUGCUUUAGGCAUUAGAUUUUGUGCAUAAAAGAUUAAGUUUAGUUCUACUCACAUCCUGGCAGACGCUGACUGACUCUGCAACUGCUAGCAUUACUGGCCUCCUCGGUCCCUCGGGUCCGAUCCUACACAGGUGGACUCGAAUGAGGUGCCAAACACAUUCUAACAACUCAUAAACAACUCCCCAAAAACCCCUCUAAACAUCACUUAAUCAUGCAUGGAAAACACCCAAGAAACGGCUGGACAGGGCACUUUCGGCGGCACCUUCGGCGGCCGAAAGUCCCUUCCAGAGACGAAACUCGGGUAGGUUCGGCGGCAGGUUCGGCGGCCGAAACCCUAGGACAGAAACGAAAGUCCCUCCUUCGGGGGCACAUUCGGCAGCCUAAAGACUGCCUCCCAUGCAGGUUCGGCGGCCGAAACUCCUUUCGGCGGCCGAACCUGGUCCCCUCUGGACGACAGGUCCGAUUCUGCCAAGCCAAAAAACCAAACUCAACAUACCCAAAUCCUUACAUACUCUCUCCCAACAUGCAUACUCACUCCCACAAGCAUAAAGGAGCAUAAACUAACAUAAACUCCUCAACACAAACAUCACAUAACAUACACUGGGUAUAAAACCCACAUAAACCUAAACAUGCCAUUCUACCCAUUCAAAACUCCAAUAAACUUACUUAAAACUCAUUAAAACAUAAAAGGAAGCAUAGAUCUACACUUACCUCUUGAAGAUCGAGGGUUGCGUGAUCUCUAACUCGGAGGUAUGGAGAAUCCAAGCUCCAAAAGCUCCAAGCUCCCAAAACUCCUUUUAAGCUUUAAAUCUUCAAACACAAAGGUAGAAAUCAUGAAAAACUUGAGAGAUGGGUAGAGAAAACACGAAAACGACCAAAGGAAGGCAUAAACUCACCUGAGCUCGAGAAUGGGGAGAAAACUCACCCAUUUCCGAUCUGAGGGCCUUUUAUAGGUGGCCUGGUCGAAGACCUUCGGCAGCCUAACGUGCCCCCUAAACUCAUGCAUGUUCGGCGGCCGAACUUGACUUUCGGCGGCCGAACCUUGGCUCGUUUAAACAAGACUUUCGGAGGCCAAAGGCGCUCCCGAAGCCUUCCCAUGUUCGGCGGCCGAACUCCACUUUCGGCGGCCGAACCUGGCAAUUGCCUCCUUGGUCUUUUCCCUUCAAAACUCAAUUCUCUUUCCUUUUAAAACCAUGAAAUCAUGUGAAAACAUUUUAGAAAACACAUUUUACCCCUUCUAGAGAGAUCCAACACCUUAGAUUCCGCCGGAAGGCAGGAAUCCCGAUGCCGGAUUCUAGCCGGGUAUUACAU
This 2346-nucleotide long non-coding RNA is filed under the name Manihot esculenta (cassava). RNAcentral's name for it is "long non-coding RNA (MESC_LNC003651)". Lineage: Eukaryota; Viridiplantae; Streptophyta; Magnoliopsida; Malpighiales; Euphorbiaceae. The record is from RNAcentral.